Long non-coding RNA from Synchiropus splendidus (mandarinfish), 2265 nucleotides. RefSeq lists it as uncharacterized. The record is from RefSeq and is a predicted model, not a curated record. The transcript has 4 exons. NCBI's taxonomy places the organism in Eukaryota, Metazoa, Chordata, Actinopteri, Syngnathiformes, Callionymidae.
CUGGUUCUCGUGUGGCAGCAGUGUGAAGUUGCGGUGCAGCCAGGUGGAGGUCCUCCUCGCUGUCUCCUCUGUCAACAUCCUUACAGACAACUACACGACGUUUGUUCCAGUCUCAUAGUUGCUGCAUGAGCAUGCCAUUAUCUGCCCACUGGCUGAAGUGCUGCGCCAGGGAUGGCAUGCCCAGUACACGACAGCUGUCAUGGUCCACAGACAUGAGCUCAGGAGGUGCCUCUCCUGCUGUCUUCUACCUUGACAUUAGGACAAUGGAGCUGUCCUCAUCCAUCUGUCCCGUUGGUGCUCUGCUCUGCCAGUGGCAGCUGUUGGAUGCGUCGAGCCAUCCUGCGGUCAUGGUCAAUGCCAGCUUGAUCCAGUUGUGCAGGCUGUACCACUGACGUGUCUCUUGGAAAGAGAUGGACCUGAAGCGACCCCAUCCAUAAUGGCCCUGUCUACAUUGAUCUCCUGGUGGCAGGAGACAGGAGAGAGCAGCAGCAGCACACAUUCAAGAGUGCAGUUCUACUUUACGGCGGCAGGGGGCGGCCGAACGCGACGCAAGCUGAGUGUUGGUUUCCGUCAUGAAGCAGCACACAAUAACCCCGGAAGUGAGUAUGAGCUGAGGGGGGAGGGGAGCUGAGCCUCACUUUAUCGUUUUUCUCAACAUUACAUCCGUUUUUAAAUCUCAUGAACAUGUUAUGCUGAAGCAUUUAGUUAUAAACAUGUGUAGUGUGACAAUUCUCUUAUGUUUGUGUGGCCGUGUGAUUCGAAUGGACUAGUUUCAGAUCAUUGCUGUUCAAAAAAAUGCAGCAUUGCAUGCUGGGUAAAGCGAAUGUCCCUCGAAGAAAGCUAUUCAAGCUCAUAAUUUAGUGAUCUUUUGCGUCAGUGUAUAGUAAUACACCAAAGCAUGUGCCCUCUUUGAUUUAGCCUGGUGGUUUCAAGUGUUCAAGUGUUUUCACCACAAAUAUGUGUGUUGUGUGUGCGAAUGGGUUGAGCGCAGCGUCCGUGUACAACUCAUACUUACCUGGCAGGGGAGACACCAUGAUCAAGAAGGUGGUUCACCCAGGGCGAGGCUCAGCCAUUGCACUUUGGGUUGUGCUGACCCCUGCGAAUUCCCCAAAUGUGGGAAUCUCGACUGCAUAAUUUCUGGUAGUGGGGGACUGCGUUCGCGCUCUCCCCUGAUCUCCUUGUUCAAAGUAAUUUAAACAUCGGCUCACAUACAUACACAGAGUUGUGCACCGGAAUCUGUUAUACACGUGCUGCACUAGUUCAAUGAUGCUAGUUGUGCAUUUGAUGGACGAAACUCUUGUAUUUUCAAUGAUCUCUGAAGUGCCCUGUGUACUGGCCUGAGACCAGAUGAAUGGUCUCUCUUUCUGUACAUUUAUGUUCUCACCAAAAGAGUCACACUUGUUCAAUGAUGAGAAUGCUGCAUUUGAGAGGCUAAAACAUGACUAUAUUCCUUAAUAUGUCUCUGAAGUACUCACGUAUACUGACAUCAUAGGUGGGAGGGACAGACACCAGAUGAGUGGUCUCCCUCUGUCAUUUGUUUAAACUAAAUAGACACUAAUUUAAUAUAAUUUUAAGAAUGAUUCGUGUAUGUUACUUUGUACUUGUGCAGGAAGAAUGGGAUAGUUGUGUUGUUCUGCAUCCAUGCAGCAGGGGGCAGUAGGCUGUCUUUACCAGAGCAGGAAACACAGAACCAGGAAGCAUUUGCCAAGGGGGGGAAGUGCAGAAUGCUUAAUUUAUAGAACAAUUUUUCCUUAACAUUUCGAUGUCGGUUGCUUGUUUUAGACACAGUGUUUAGGAAUACCUGGUCAACUUGUGCGGUGCUUCUUAUCCUUGUUUGUUGUUGUGAUGUCAACUGGGUUAAAUUGGUAGUGCUACUUUGGGCAAACACAGCAGUGCAUGCUGGGUAAAUGAGAAGUUCUAUAAACUGUGAAAAAUAGUUUUAUCUUUCUGAAUGGCAUAACUGUUGUUGUAGUUGUAAAUGACGAUUUUAUUUGUUCUGAACAUCAGUUUGUGGCUUGUAGAGUUGUAAGGAUGUGACUCCCAUCAGUGCAAAUGAUGUGUGUGAGCAAGGGUUGUCUGCAGCGUCCGUGUACAACUCAUACUUACCUGGCAGGGGAGACACCAUGAUCAAGAAGGUGGUUCACCCAGGGUGAGGCUCAGCCAUUGCACUUUGGGUUGUGCUGACCCCUGCGAAUUCCCCAAAUGUGGGAAUCUCGACUGCAUAAUUUCUGGUAGUGGGGGACUGCGUUCGCGCUCUCCCCUGAU